Molecule: ribosomal RNA, 460 nt
Filed under: uncultured bacterium
Lineage: Bacteria
Description: partial 16S ribosomal RNA
Rfam family: Bacterial small subunit ribosomal RNA
Source: RNAcentral
CCUACGGGCGGCAGCAGUGAGGAAUAUUGGUCAAUGGACGAGAGUCUGAACCAGCCAAGUAGCGUGAAGGAUGACUGCCCUAUGGGUUGUAAACUUCUUUUAUAUGGGAAUAAAAUGUUCCACGUGUGGGAUUUUGUAUGUACCAUAUGAAUAAGGAUCGGCUAACUCCGUGCCAGCAGCCGCGGUAAUACGGAGGAUCCGAGCGUUAUCCGGAUUUAUUGGGUUUAAAGGGUGCGUAGGUGGAUUGUUAAGUCAGUUGUGAAAGUUUGCGGCUCAACCGUAAAAUUGCAGUUGAAACUGGCAGUCUUGAGUACAGUAGAGGUGGGCGGAAUUCGUGGUGUAGCGGUGAAAUGCUUAGAUAUCACGAAGAACUCCGAUUGCGAAGGCAGUUCACUGGACUGCAACUGACACUGAGGCUCGAAAGUGUGGGUAUCAAACAGGAUUAGAUACCCUUGUAGUC